Molecule: ribosomal RNA, 253 nt
Filed under: uncultured bacterium
Lineage: Bacteria
Description: partial 16S ribosomal RNA
Rfam family: Bacterial small subunit ribosomal RNA
Source: RNAcentral
UACGUAGGGUGCAAGCGUUGUCCGGAAUUAUUGGGCGUAAAGAGCUCGUAGGCGGUUUGUCGCGUCUGCUGUGAAAACCCGAGGCUCAACCUCGGGCCUGCAGUGGGUACGGGCAGACUAGAGUGCGGUAGGGGAGAUUGGAAUUCCUGGUGUAGCGGUGAAAUGCGCAGAUAUCAGGAAGAACACCCGUGGCUAAGGCGGCUCUCUAGUACGGUACUGACGCUGAGACGCGAAAGCGUGGGGAGCGAACAGG